AAGAGGAGAAGAUGGACGCUAACGUUCGCGACUGGGACGAACUGACGCCGCUGAUCCCCGCUGCUAGCGCGGGGCACAUGGAUGUCGUUAAGCUUCUAUUGAAGGAGGGCGCUGACGUCAACGCCAAGGAUAAGGAUGGCAUCAACGCACUCAUGGAGGCGAGUAUCAUGGGGCAU
Molecule: small nuclear RNA, 176 nt
Filed under: Thalassiosira oceanica
Lineage: Eukaryota; Bacillariophyta; Thalassiosirophyceae; Thalassiosirales; Thalassiosiraceae
Description: partial Dictyostelium signal recognition particle
Source: RNAcentral